Molecule: ribosomal RNA, 682 nt
Filed under: uncultured bacterium
Lineage: Bacteria
Description: bacterial SSU rRNA
Rfam family: Bacterial small subunit ribosomal RNA
Source: RNAcentral
AGCGAACGCUGGCGGCAUGCUUAACACAUGCAAGUCGCACGGUUUGGGGCUUCGGUUCCGGGCAGUGGCGGACGGGUGAGUAACGCGUAGGCAUCUAUCCUGGGGUGGGGGAUAACGGCGGGAAACUGCUGCUAAUACCGCAUGAAACCUGAGGGUCAAAGGCGUAAGUCGCCUUAGGAGGAGCCUGCGUCUGAUUAGCUUGUUGGUGGGGUAAAGGCCUACCAAGGCGAUGAUCGGUAGCUGGUCUGAGAGGAUGAUCAGCCACAUUGGGACUGAGACACGGCCCAAACUCCUACGGGAGGCAGCAGUGGGGAAUAUUGGACAAUGGGCGCAAGCCUGAUCCAGCAAUGCCGCGUGUGUGAAGAAGGUUUUCGGAUUGUAAAGCACUUUCGGCGGGGACGAUGAUGACGGUACCCGCAGAAGAAGCCCCGGCUAACUUCGUGCCAGCAGCCGCGGUAAUACGAAGGGGGCUAGCGUUGCUCGGAAUGACUGGGCGUAAAGGGCGCGUAGGCGGAUGUGACAGUCAGACGUGAAAUUCCUGGGCUCAACCUGGGGACUGCGUUUGAGACGUUAUAUCUAGAGUGAGGAAGAGGGUUGUGGAAUUCCCAGUGUAGAGGUGAAAUUCGUAGAUAUUGGGAAGAACACCGGUGGCGAAGGCGGCAACCUGGUCCUUUACUGACGC